UUUUUUUAUUUAAUUAGCUCUGACAUUAGCUGGUGGACAUGGAGGGAAUGGGUCAGUGUCUGAUGGGGAAUCAAAUAACUCAACAAUAUUUGUUGGGGGCAUUGACGCUGAUGUUACUGAAGAAGACCUCAGACAACCUUUCUCCCAGUUUGGGGAGGUUGUUUCGGUAAAGAUCCCAGUAGGAAAAGGAUGCGGUUUUGUCCAAUUUGGUAACAGGCAGAGUGCUGAAGAAGCCAUUGGGAACUUGAACGGGACAGUCAUCGGGAAAAACACUGUCCGGCUUUCUUGGGGACGCAGCCCAAACAGACAGUGGAGAGGUGACCAACAAUGGAACGGAGGAUACUCAAGAGGACAAGGUUACAGCAACGGAUAUGCUAAUCAAGACUCAAACAUGUAUGCUGCUGCAGCGGCUGCUGUCCCUGGAACAUCUUGAAAGUGUUGGUUAUGUCUCGUGAGUCCUGCUGGACUUACGGGCAUUGGUUUCUAAAAGAAACCAUCGGAAUGUCAAAGGGAUUCGAUGAUUAGUUGUUGGUUCAGGGAUUAGCUCGCUUCAACAAAACUAAAAAACCUCUUUAAGUGCAAAGAGGGUUUAGUAUCCUAUGGAUUUGAACUUUGUUUAUCUUGCUGUCUCAGUCUCUAACAUUUUGGGGCUGUCUUAAACUUGAAUUCUAUUCUCGGUUUCUUUAA
Molecule: long non-coding RNA, 687 nt
Organism: Raphanus sativus (radish)
Lineage: Eukaryota; Viridiplantae; Streptophyta; Magnoliopsida; Brassicales; Brassicaceae
Exons: 4
Source: RefSeq, a predicted model, not a curated record